Molecule: long non-coding RNA, 1137 nt
Filed under: Laticauda laticaudata (blue-ringed sea krait)
Lineage: Eukaryota; Metazoa; Chordata; Lepidosauria; Squamata; Elapidae
Description: lncRNA (ENSLLTG00000010549.1)
Source: RNAcentral
CCGGGGGGGCAGUUCCCUCCUUCCCUGUCAGUUUCAGGCAGCUGCGCGCGUCGCUCGGGGGGGGGCGGUGGUGGUGGUUGAGUCUGCCCGCCUUGGGCGGCAACGUGCGCGCCGAGGAGGAACGAUGCCUCCCCCACCGCCAUGAAGGAAGCCCGCGCGGGUCAGUGAAUUGGCGGGGAUUGUUGAGGAGUCGAGCUGGAGAUGAGGAGGCGGCGGAAGGAGAGGAAAAGACGGCAGGAUUGCAUCCCGCCUUUCGCUUUGUUUAUUUAUUUAUUGCUUCUCCUGAGCGUGGAGGUAUGUUUUGUGCCGGGUAAAAAAAGGGACGAACCGUCUCACUUUGAAAAGCACGGCAGCGGGGUUCACAGCGAGGCCCUCGAAACGUUUCCUCAGGGUCCCGCGGUAGGUUUUUAAUGUUGUAGAAGUCGGGACUCGAUUUGAGGUCUGCGCUCCUCAAAUGGCACCCCCAAAAUUUGCAGGGACCAAAUCGGAUGCGUUUCUCUUCCGUUGCAACAUGCUUCAUGCCUUCGCCCAAACUACGUGCAUAAUGUGUAGGAGGUCUCGGCCUUAGAGUCGCCACCCGUUAAUAAGCAUUUCAUCAGCACAAGCAAGCACAAGCAUGGUAAAUGCUUAUGCGCCCGUUAAUUAGUGAAUAAGCAGAAGCAUUUUUGGGAAAAAAAAAAUCUUUUUCCUGGUGUAUAUCUGGUAAUUUGAUAUAUAUUUACCAUGCUAAGUUUUGAAUUGCUGGGGAUUGUUUAUAGUAGGCGUUUUCGCUUUAGUUUGCACUGUAGAGCCUAUUAUAUGUAACGAAUUGGAUGAAGUGCGAUGGCUAUGAAAGAAAUUGCAUAUUUACAUCCCAAUAGAAUAUUAUAUUAGACCAACUCUAAAUUUGCAAAAAUAUGCAAGAUCUCAAAAUGUGUUCAGGUUUUUAUGAUGAAUGGUAGGCUAAAUAGAAGUGUAGUUUUAGCAUGGAGUUUGAAAUACUAGUAUUUUUGUUUCCGGAAGGGAACUAAUAGUUGUACAGUAUAACACUUACAAUUUUAAGCUGUGUGUAGUUUUAAUAUUUCAGGCACAAAUUGUAUGUACUUCAUCUUUACAAUACUGAGAUUAUGUUACUGAAUUACUUUAUAGUACUGCAGU